Molecule: long non-coding RNA, 932 nt
Organism: Lepisosteus oculatus (spotted gar)
Lineage: Eukaryota; Metazoa; Chordata; Actinopteri; Semionotiformes; Lepisosteidae
Source: RefSeq, a predicted model, not a curated record
GAGUUCAAGAGCCAAUUCACUCCUCUAACCUAUUUGGUUGGUAGUAGCUAAAUGAUCUGAGGAUCUUGCCCAGACGUUUCUUAAAAGAAUCCAGGGAAUCAGAUUCAAAAACAUACAGUACAUGUGGGAGUAUGGUAAUGCUAACCACCCCCCUGUUUAACGAAGUGCCUUUUGUUCUCAGUUUUAAAGUCACUACCAUGUAGUGGUAGUCUGUUUCACUGUUCAUUCUGAAAAAGUGGAUUUACUUUGUCUGAAAAAAGUAUUUCCUCUCAUUGUCUUCCAAGUUGAAGGGAAAAAAAGGCAUCAUCCUGAGUGAAGAUCCAAAGGCACCAGAGAUACUGUGAAGACUGUGCAUGAGGAAAGGGGGUAUAGCAGACGGACCAGGAACAACAAAGAACUGAAAGAUGUACCCUGAUGAGGACAUUCAGAUGUUAAGUGAUGCCACCUGGAUUCCAACCUUAGAUCGUGGAGGUGUAUAAUACAUCCCGCGUGGUUGGAGCACCGGUUCACAAGCACAGACAUGAGUAACAAAUCCAUUUUGCUGUAAGGGUAGCAUUAAUCUGUGCAUUGUGACUGGUCCUCUCUGAAAAGGGGAUCACAACAGCUGUGGGACCGAUCACAUGAAUAUUGCAGCGUUCAGACAGGUAAGGGAGUAUAGACACAGGGCCCUUGAAGACGUUUCUGCACUUUUGCCUGUCAUUAAAUCUUCAUCAAAUUCCACAUUUCUAAUUAUCUUGUGUGUAACAGCUCUAUCAGGAUUAUAGUAAUGAUCUGCUUUCUGAACAGUCACAGUCAAAUUAUUUCACCAAAGCACAGUUGCUGCAUAAAUCUUAAAACUACUGUAAUAUAACAUCACAGUGGCAGUAAUGGGAGUGUGGUGGUGAUGGGAGUGAGGUGGUGAUGAGAGUGUGGUGAUGGGAGUGAGGAGGUGA